Podarcis raffonei (Aeolian wall lizard) is the source of this 1028-nucleotide long non-coding RNA. RefSeq lists it as uncharacterized. The record is from RefSeq and is a predicted model, not a curated record. The transcript is spliced from 3 exons. Lineage: Eukaryota; Metazoa; Chordata; Lepidosauria; Squamata; Lacertidae.
ACCUCUAAAACAGGCAAAAGGACCUUGAAAGUAGAAACACACCAGUCUCUGUAGGCAAAUGCCUUUGUGUGCUGGCUGGCAAAAAUUGAAUUCUGGGUCAGAGACAACUUUAUUUCAAGUCAUUGUAAAAGGUUUCAAAAUGGAGUCAGCCACCGCUUACAUGGGCCUGGUAACUCAAGGCAAACAUGCAUCCCACUGCGAACAAUCAGUGAAAGCCACAACCACUUCCCUGGUGAGAAGGGCCAAAGAACUGCUGACAUGCCUUGAAAGAAGCAGUAAAAGAACAGGUUUGUUAAAAGCCAACAGCAAAGGAAAGAGGGGGGAAAGCAGUCUACAGUAAAGGAACACCUCUGCCCAUCAACAGGAGUAGUAUUUGCAAUGGUGGGGCAAAGUAGAUUCCAAGACGCAGACAGAAUUCACCACACCUCAGGGCAAGGCCAGAUCAAGGGAGAAGGUACAGGAAAGGAAAUGAAGCCGCAUCGGAGGUGGUAACAACGAAACUGACCAAUCACCGUGCUAGAUUCCCACCCCUACUUCACACAUUAAACGCUCACUUCUGUCCGAGACUCAGGAAACACUGUGACAGGAAAUGAUGCCGCCAUCAGGGGUAGCAACGGAACUGACAAUUCACCAUGCUAGAGAAGAAACUAAUUUUUUAAAUUUUAAAUAGUUUCUUGUCCCAUUACAUUCACAAAAAUUUUAGGGGUAUGCGUACCCCUGUGUACCCCCAGAAAAAAGCACUGCUUGCAGGUAAGUGGGUACAAGAUUACAGCACAAAUUGACCAGACUCUAAAAAUCUGGUCUAUACGGCCAUGAUGUUAAUUAUGAGUCUCUUUUCCCCCAGAAAGGUGAACUCAAAACAUCAAAAACAAGUGCAAAAACUAGAAUAAAAUCAAUCUAAAAUUUCCCUUGUAUCACUGAAACAUGAUUAUUUCCAAGUCACACUGAAACUAGGAAUUGAAUUAUUUCAUUCAGUUGUUUGUUAGAAUUGCCUGUAAACUUUACUUCUUAUACACUAAAAGCUUGGG